This 776-nucleotide ribosomal RNA is filed under the name uncultured bacterium. RNAcentral describes it as "bacterial SSU rRNA". It matches the Rfam family "Bacterial small subunit ribosomal RNA", at positions 651 to 1428 of the family's 1533-position model. The record is from RNAcentral.
UCAGAGGGGGGUAGANUUCCACGUGUAGCAGUGAAAUGCGUAGAGAUGUGGAGGAAUACCGAUGGNGAAGGCAGCCCCCUGGGAUAACACUGACGUUCAUGCUCGAAAGCGUGGGUAGCAAACAGGAUUAGAUACCCUGGUAGUNCACGCCCUAAACGAUGUCGAUUAGCUGUUGGGCAACUUGAUUGCUUAGUAGCGUAGCUAACGCGUGAAAUCGACCGCCUGGGGAGUACGGUCGCAAGAUUAAAACUCAAAGGAAUUGACGGGGACCCGCACGAGCGGUGGAUGAUGUGGAUUAAUUCGAUGCAACGCGAAGAACCUUACCUGGUCUUGACAUGUACGGAACCUUCCAGAGACGGAAGGGUGCCUUCGGGAGCCGUAGCACAGGUGCUGCAUGGCUGUCGUCAGCUCGUGUCGUGAGAUGUUGGGUUAAGUCCCGCAACGAGCGCAACCCUUGUCAUUAGUUGCCAUCAUUUAGUUGGGCACUCUAAUGAGACUGCCGGUGACAAACCGGAGGAAGGUGGGGAUGACGUCAAGUCCUCAUGGCCCUUAUGACCAGGGCUUCACACGUCAUACAAUGGUCGGUACAGAGGGUAGCCAAGCCGCGAGGUGGAGCCAAUCCCAGAAAACCGAUCGUAGUCCGGAUUGCACUCUGCAACUCGAGUGCAUGAAGUCGGAAUCGCUAGUAAUCGCAGGUCAGCAUACUGCGGUGAAUACGUUCCCGGGUCUUGUACACACCGCCCGUCACACCAUGGGAGUGGGGGAUACCAGAAGCA